CCUGCGAAUCCUAGAGCAAUCAGAAUAUCAGGGGCCCCCGUAAUGUACGGAGGCAGAGGGAGAGGGCUCCGGCCCCCUCGGCGUCAUGUCUUCGGUGCCGACGGUUGCCAGUCCGCCGGUUCUAUCCUCAAGCGCCAGGACACGG
Molecule: small nucleolar RNA, 145 nt
Filed under: Myotis brandtii (Brandt's bat)
Lineage: Eukaryota; Metazoa; Chordata; Mammalia; Chiroptera; Vespertilionidae
Description: Small nucleolar RNA SNORA57
Rfam family: Small nucleolar RNA SNORA57
About the family: U99 belongs to the H/ACA class of snoRNAs which are thought to guide the sites of modification of uridines to pseudouridines, the target for this family is unknown.
Source: Rfam by way of RNAcentral